Molecule: ribosomal RNA, 357 nt
Filed under: uncultured Actinomycetes bacterium
Lineage: Bacteria; Bacillati; Actinomycetota; Actinomycetes
Description: bacterial SSU rRNA
Rfam family: Bacterial small subunit ribosomal RNA
Source: RNAcentral
GCGGCCUAUCAGCUUGUUGGUGAGGUAAUGGCUCACCAAGGCGACGACGGGUAGCCGGCCUGAGAGGGCGACCGGCCACACUGGGACUGAGACACGGCCCAGACUCCUACGGGAGGCAGCAGUGGGGAAUAUUGGGCAAUGGAGGAAACUCUGACCCAGCGACGCCGCGUGCGGGAUGAAGGCCUUCGGGUUGUAAACCGCUUUCAGUAGGGAAGAAGCGAAAGUGACGGUACCUACAGAAGAAGCACCGGCUAACUAUGUGCCGGCAGCCGCGGUAAUACAUAGGGUGCAAGCGUUGUCCGGAAUUGUUGGGGCGUAAAGAGCUCGUAAGUGGUUCGAUACGUCCGGAUGUGAAAA